This 810-nucleotide unclassified non-coding RNA is filed under the name Zea mays. Its description in RNAcentral is "misc RNA Zm00001eb295730". Lineage: Eukaryota; Viridiplantae; Streptophyta; Magnoliopsida; Poales; Poaceae. The record is from RNAcentral.
AGUGUCUUGUUUCGAUUCAGUGGUGCUGAGGAUCCGGGCCGCCAGGGCUCCGCCUCUUGGACUCGCCGACACCGGCGGCGCCGGUGGCGCCGUCCGUCGUCGACGCCUCCAUCUCCUCCUCCCGUAUUACCUUGUUACCGAGCGGCCGCCCCGCCCCCGCCAUCACGGCCGCGCCGUCGUCCCUCCUCCCCGUCCCCAGAUGCCUGCCGGCCUCGGUCGUCGUCACGGCGGACGACAGGAGGAGGACGACGCACAGGAGCGUGACGACCACGCCGGCCGUGGUGCUAGCCUUCGCCAUGCACACGUACUAUGCUACUCGAUCGAUCCCGGGCCGGCUACGAGGACCGCACUUCGUCGUCCCUGAUGCUCCGCCGAGGCGAGAGUGCGUACGGUGGUGGAUCAAGUGGAGGUGCCCGACGACUCCGAUGCUCCUCGAACGGCACGCGCGGGUUUAUAUAGGCGCGGCGCGGCGCGGGCGAGCGGCGGCCUGGGUCGAUCGCCCUCGAAGAGCCGCGCGCGCGGUGGUGGUAGGCCAGGGCUAUAGCUAGUGCUCGCUGACCCGAUCGGUUCGCGCGGCGGCGGUAAGGUCAAAUCCAUAUCGGUUUGGUGGCCUCUGCACUGCACUACUGCUCCGGCCGGCGGUCCAUGACCGGCCAUGCUCGCGUUUGCGUGCGUUUUGACCUGGCCGGCUGGCAGAUCGCGCGGCGCACCUUGCAUUGGGGGGUGUGCAUUGGCGCGCACUCUGCGUGCGUGUGCGUGCGUGCGCAUACAUAUAUGCCGAUGACGUGGGCUCAGCUGGCUAGCGGCAGG